Molecule: ribosomal RNA, 456 nt
Filed under: uncultured bacterium
Lineage: Bacteria
Description: bacterial SSU rRNA
Rfam family: Bacterial small subunit ribosomal RNA
Source: RNAcentral
AGAGUUUGAUCCUGGCUCAGAACGAACGCUGGCGGCACGCCUAACACAUGCAAGUCGAACGCUAAAUAACCCUCGGGUUAUGGAAAGUGGCGGACGGGUGAGUAACGCGUAGGAACCUGCCCAAAGGUACGGAAUAACUCAGGGAAACUUGUGCUAAUACCGUAUGUACCCUACGGGGGAAAGAUUCAUCGCCUUUGGAUGGGCCUGCGUUAGAUUAGCUAGUUGGUGAGGUAACGGCUCACCAAGGCAACGAUCUAUAGCUGGUCUGAGAGGAUGAUCAGCCACACUGGAACUGAGACACGGUCCAGACUCCUACGGGAGGCAGCAGUGGGGAAUAUUGGACAAUGGGCGAAAGCCUGAUCCAGCGAUGCCGCGUGAGUGAAGAAGGCCUUAGGGUUGUAAAACUCUUUCACCAGGGAAGAUAAUGACGGUACCUGUAAAGAAGCCCCGCUAACU